This is an RNA transcript of Mercurialis annua (annual mercury), 2480 nucleotides long. It is a transcript of the gene named bifunctional nuclease 1, with no coding region annotated. NCBI's taxonomy places the organism in Eukaryota, Viridiplantae, Streptophyta, Magnoliopsida, Malpighiales, Euphorbiaceae. The record is from RefSeq and is a predicted model, not a curated record. The transcript has 11 exons.
UUUCCUCUAGAAAAAACAAGGACACCUCAUCAUCUCUAAAUUCAACUACUUUUUGUUUGAAGCUCAAUCAACUUUUUAUUCUCUUUCUUUUCCUGUUUCUGUUAUUUUCUCAAUUAAUGAUGUCAGGAGCUGAAUUUCCAAUCCUUACAGCAACAAACUUGAGGGUUUUACGAGAUCAAAAGAUCAAUGCAUAUGAUGGCGGUGGCGGCUUGACGUUGAAUUCAAGUGGGUUAUCGUCAAUUCAAUUGGGUCUUCUUAAAAAAAGCUUAAGAUUACAGUGUCGUUUUGUUAAAAAAUCAAUCUCCAUCUCUUGUAAGUCUUCCCAUGGUAGACCCUUUGAUGACGGUAGAUCCACUAAUGCCCCUGAUGAUCAUCACGAUCAUGAUUUUCUUCAUGCUUCUCUGCUCAUUUCAGAAACUGUCUUGCACUAUCGGAUGCGGAGGGAAGGUUAUCAAGAAGAAACUAGAUGGAGGUUACCAGGUAGAUGGAAUCCGUUUCUUGGCAGAACCAGGCCCUCAAGACGUGAUACUGGUUUUGUCGGGCAGAAGUUUCUUACUCGAUUCCAGAGUCCUACUAUUUUUCUAAAAGUUUCUUGUGAUGGAGACUUUCUAUUACCUAUUAUUGUUGGGGAAUUUGCCGUUGAGAAACUCGUAAAUGCGUUGCGGGGAGACGAUGGAUCUGCUGAUGGGGUAAUUCUUAGAGGAGAUGGAUAUGAUCAUGAGGGUUGCCCAGAUCAGUUUCAGCUGGUGAGAAAUCUGGUGCAUGGACUUGGAUAUGAGGUAAAAAUGGUGAAAAUUACAGAGAGGGUAGUUAACACUUAUUUCGCAAGAGUAAUUUUGAGCAAGGCAGGAGAAAAUGAAAUUGUAAGCAUAGACGCACGACCAUCUGAUGCCAUAAAUUUGGCAAAUACAUGCAAGGCUCCAAUUUUUGUAAGUAAACAAAUUGUCUUCACAGACGCUAUCAGAAUUAGCUAUGGGAGGGGAAGAGUGCAUGACAGGAAGCCUACAUAUGAUGUAUUGCUUGACAGUGCUGCUGAUGGUCCAGAUCCACUAUCAGAAGAAAUUGAGCUUGUGCGGAAUUUGAAUUUAGCUGUUGAUGAGGAAAGAUUCAAUGAUGCAGCAAUGUGGAGAGACAAACUGAUGCAGCUUCGCCAAUCAAGGCAUGACCAUUAGCUAACAUUUGGUCAAACAAACUUUCAUUAUGGUGUUCACGUUCCUCUGAAGAUGUUGGCAUUGCUAUAGGCUUGUGCAAGUGACAGAACAGCCUGAGGAACUGAAAAUUACGUUUUUUUAUGUUUCAGGAUCAUGAUUGACAUUGUAUUCUGAAUUUGUUCAGAAUUAAUUGAUCAUAAUCACAAAGUUAUCUUCCUGGGAAAUAUUUUGAAAUUAUUUCUACUCCCAACAAGAAAAUUGAGGUUCUGUUCAGAUUUGAGUUCAAGCACGACGACACCAGGAUGGAAGUCUUGGUUGCAGACGUCGAUACAUAUGUGGCAUCCGUUCUCCAUCGCCCCACAGUGCAUAAGCUUCUUCACCGUGCACAGCAUCAUCGCCUAUUUCAAGGUCAUCUUCUGGUAGCCUCAGAUCAACUAAGCGACUAAUAAGAAUACAGAUUAAGCUUGUCAUAACCACAUUCCAGGCUGUAAUAAAAGCUGCUCCUUCAAAUUGGGUAACCAUUUGUUUAAGGCCAUCAUGGUGUCUUCCAUUUGUGAGGCUAUAGAAUAAUCCUGUGCCGUAGGUGCUGUGUGGGUACAUCAGCUUUAAGAGGGAAGGUUUGGCAAAGACGCCUGACAUAAUUCCUCCGAGAAGGCCAGCCACCGCGUGCGUGUGGAAGACCGCCAAUGUGUCAUCCACACUUUGGAAGAUUGCAGAUUUUUUGUGCAGUACCAUCAUGGUGUACCAUGUCACUGAGCCAGACAUUCCUCCCAUCAACAUUGCUGCCCAUGGCUCCACUAUUCCCGCGGCGGGAGUGAUGCAGACAAGGCCAGUGAUCAUGCCUUGAACAGCACCAAUGACGGAGCUUUUCUUGUAAAUAAUCAUGUCCAGGGAAAGCCAGACUAGCAGGCUGGUGGCGGUGCAGAGGUGGGUGUUGAGAACGGCCAGAGAGGCCACUAGUCCAGCAGCAAAUGGAGAGCCACCGUUAAAGCCUGUCCAUCCCAACCAUACAAAUCCUGCUCCUCCUAACAUAUGAAUUAUAUUGUUUGGAGGGAAAUGCUGCCUGUCAUGUGAAUGCCUUGGUCCUACCUAAUUUCAUUUACCAUCAUCAUUUAUCAUUAAGAUUAAUUCAUAUUUAACCUCAUCUCAGUUUGUGAUUAAGCUCCUGUAAUCAUGUUUUCUAUAAUUACUAAAAACAAACUAAGAAUUAAAAUGAAAAACCAACAAAGCAUGGAGUUUGAGCUAGUGCCAUACCAAAUGUAUCCCGAAAAUAGUUUAAAAAUCAAUUUGUCUCAUGAAUUUGUAUGAAUUAAUUAAAUUUUUUUCUCA